This 467-nucleotide ribosomal RNA is filed under the name uncultured bacterium. Its description in RNAcentral is "partial 16S ribosomal RNA". It matches the Rfam family "Bacterial small subunit ribosomal RNA", at positions 28 to 506 of the family's 1533-position model. The record is from RNAcentral.
GACGAACGCUGGCGGCGUGCUUAACACAUGCAAGUCGAACGGUGAUGCUCCAGCUUGCUGGAGUGGAUCAGUGGCGAACGGGUGAGUAACACGUGAGCAACCUGCCCCAGACUCUGGAAUAAGCGCUGGAAACGGCGUCUAAUACUGGAUACGAAACUGGCCCUCAUGGGCAUGGUUUGGAAAGUUUUUCGGUUUGGGAUGGGCUCGCGGCCUAUCAGCUUGUUGGUGAGGUAAUGGCUCACCAAGGCGACGACGGGUAGCCGGCCUGAGAGGGCGACCGGCCACACUGGGACGGAGACACGGCCCAGACUCCUACGGGAGGCAGCAGUGGGGAAUAUUGCACAAUGGGCGAAAGCCUGAUGCAGCGACGCCGCGUGAGGGAUGACGGCCUUCGGGUUGUAAACCUCUUUCAGCAGGGAAGAAGCGAAAGUGACGGUACCUGCAGAAGAAGCACCGGCUAACUACGU